UAAGGUUAAGUUAGUAAGGGCGCACGGUGGAUGCCUUGGCACUAGGAGCCGAAGAAGGACGUGACAAACGACGAAAUGCCUUGGGGAGCUGUAAGUAAGCGUAGAUCCAGGGAUGUCCGAAUGGGGGAACCCAACAGGUAGAUGCCUGUUACCCGUAUCUAUUAAGGAUAUGAGGAGGAAGACGCAGUGAACUGAAACAUCUAAGUAGCUGCAGGAAGAGAAAGCAAAAGCGAUUGCCUGAGUAGCGGCGAGCGAAAGGGCAAGAGGGCAAACCGAGAAGUUUACUUCUCGGGGUUGUAGGACUGCGAUGUGGACUUAAAGAUUAUAGAAGAAGACCUUGGGAAAGGUUGCCAGAGAGAGUAAGAGCCUCGUAUUUUAAAUAGUCUUUAUACCUAGCAGGAUCCUGAGUACGGCGGGACACGAGGAAUCCCGUCGGAAUCUGGGAGGACCAUCUCCCAACCCUAAAUACUCCCUAGUGACCGAUAGUGAACCAGUACCGUGAGGGAAAGGUGAAAAGCACCCCGGGAGGGGAGUGAAAGAGAACCUGAAACCGUGUGCCUACAACAAGUUCGAGCCCGUUAAUGGGUGAGAGCGUGCCUUUUGUAGAAUGAACCGGCGAGUUACGUUAUGAUGCGAGGUUAAGUUGAAGAGACGGAGCCGUAGGGAAACCGAGUCUGAAGAGGGCGCCAUAGUAUCAUGAUGUAGACCCGAAACCAUGUGACCUACCCAUGAGCAGGUUGAAGGGGAGGUAAAACUCACUGGAGGACCGCACCAGGGCACGUUGAAAAGUGCUUGGAUGACUUGUGGGUAGCGGAGAAAUUCCAAACGAACUUGGAGAUAGCUGGUUCUCUCCGAAAUAGCUUUAGGGCUAGCGUCGACAGAAAGAUUCUUGGAGGUAGAGCACUGUUUGGGUGAGGGGUCCAUCCCGGAUUACCAAUCUCAGAUAAACUCCGAAUGCCAAAGAAUUAUGGUCGGCAGUCAGACUGCGAGUGCUAAGAUCCGUAGUCGAAAGGGAAACAGCCCAGACCACCAGCUAAGGUCCCAAAAUAAUUGUUAAGUGGAAAAGGAUGUGGGGUUGCACAGACAACUAGGAUGUUAGCUUAGAAGCAGCUAUUCAUUCAAAGAGUGCGUAAUAGCUCACUAGUCGAGUGACCCUGCGCCGAAAAUGUACCGGGGCUAAAACAAUUUACCGAAGCUGUGGAUCCUUUAGGGGAUGGUAGGAGAGCGUUCUAUGUGUGGUGAAGGUGUACCGUGAGGAGCGCUGGAACGCAUAGAAGUGAGAAUGCCGGUAUGAGUAGCGCAAGACAGGUGAGAAUCCUGUCCACCGUAAGACUAAGGUUUCCAGGGGAAGGCUCGUCCGCCCUGGGUUAGUCGGGACCUAAGGAGAGACCGAAAGGUGUAUCCGAUGGCCAACAGGUAGAGAUUCCUGUACUAGAGUAUAGAGUGAAGGAGGGACGCAGUAGGCUAACUCAAGCGUGCGAAUGGAAGAGCACGUCUAAGCAGUGAGGUGUGAUAGGAGUCAAAUGCUUCUAUCUGUAACAUUGAGCUGUGAUGGGGAGCGAAGUUUAGUAGCGAAGUGAGUGACGUCACACUGCCAAGAAAAGCUUCUAGCGUUAAUUUAUACUCUACCCGUACCGCAAACCGACACAGGUAGUCGAGGCGAGUAGCCUCAGGUGAUCGAGAGAACUCUCGUUAAGGAACUCGGCAAAAUGACCCCGUAACUUCGGGAGAAGGGGUGCUCAGUGUAACUGAGCCGCAGUGAAUAGGCCCAAGCAACUGUUUAUCAAAAACACAGCUCUCUGCUAAAUCGUAAGAUGAUGUAUAGGGGGUGACGCCUGCCCGGUGCUGGAAGGUUAAGAGGAGUGCUUAGACGUAAGUCGAAGGUAUGAAUUGAAGCCCCAGUAAACGGCGGCCGUAACUAUAACGGUCCU
Molecule: ribosomal RNA, 1931 nt
Filed under: Streptococcus sp. HMSC066E07
Lineage: Bacteria; Bacillati; Bacillota; Bacilli; Lactobacillales; Streptococcaceae
Description: bacterial LSU rRNA
Rfam family: Bacterial large subunit ribosomal RNA
Source: RNAcentral